Small nuclear RNA from Vombatus ursinus (common wombat), 104 nucleotides. Lineage: Eukaryota; Metazoa; Chordata; Mammalia; Diprotodontia; Vombatidae. The record is from Ensembl.
GUUCACUUUGAUGGCAGUAUAUUAAAAUUAAAAUGACACAGAGAAGAUUGGUAUAACCCCAUUACAAGAAUGACAUGCACAUUCAUAACACAUUUCAUAUUUUC